Molecule: ribosomal RNA, 403 nt
Filed under: uncultured bacterium
Lineage: Bacteria
Description: bacterial SSU rRNA
Rfam family: Bacterial small subunit ribosomal RNA
Source: RNAcentral
AUUGAACGCUGGCGGCAUGCUUUACACAUGCAAGUCGAACGGCAGCGCGGGGGCAACCCUGGCGGCGAGUGGCGAACGGGUGAGUAAUAUAUCGGAACGUACCCAGAAGUGGGGAUAACGUAGCGAAAGUUACGCUAAUACCGCAUACGAUCUACGGAUGAAAUGGGGGACCUUCGGGCCUCAUGCUUUUGGAGCGGCCGAUAUCUGAUUAGCUAGUUGGUGAGGUAAAGGCUCACCAAGGCGACGAUCAGUAGCUGGUCUGAGAGGACGACCAGCCACACUGGAACUGAGACACGGUCCAGACUCCUACGGGAGGCAGCAGUGGGGAAUUUUGGACAAUGGGGGCAACCCUGAUCCAGCAAUGCCGCGUGAGUGAAGAAGGCCUCGGUUGUAAGACUCUUUG